Molecule: ribosomal RNA, 305 nt
Filed under: uncultured bacterium
Lineage: Bacteria
Description: bacterial SSU rRNA
Rfam family: Bacterial small subunit ribosomal RNA
Source: RNAcentral
UAUGUCCUACGGGGGGCAGCAGUGGGGGAUAUUGCACAAUGGGGGGAACCCUGAUGCAGCGACGCCGCGUGGGUGAAGGAGCGUUUCGGCGCGUAAAGCCCUAUCGGCAGGGAAGAAGGAGGACGGUACCUGACUAAGAAGCCCCGGCUAACUACGUGCCAGCAGCCGCGGUAAUACGUAGGGGGCAAGCGUUAUCCGGAUUUACUGGGUGUAAAGGGUGCGUAGGUGGCAGGGCAAGUCAGAUGUGAAAGCCCGGGGCUCAACCCCGGUACUGCAUUUGAAACUGUCCAGCUGGAGUGCAGGAG